Molecule: RNA transcript, 8688 nt
Organism: Hyla sarda
Lineage: Eukaryota; Metazoa; Chordata; Amphibia; Anura; Hylidae
Gene: HRAS
Gene name: HRas proto-oncogene, GTPase
Exons: 8
Source: RefSeq, a predicted model, not a curated record
ACCCCCUCACCCAAUACCAGCUAUGAUGCACCUGAUGAUUGCCUCCCCCCAAUGGGCGUCUUAUCCAGCAGCUCCCUGGGCGUGGGCUGCACACAUUGUUCCAGAGCAGAGAGCAGUCAAUGCAGCAGCUGCAUACACAGCAACGCCCAGCUCCCCAUUCAUCUGCACGCUGCAGCCCCUUCCAUUGGGGUCUCACACUGCUGUGGACAUAACACUUUUGCAUUAUUGAAACUUUUCAAGGCAGAUCCCCAUUGCCAGGAGCUGGAUGCUUCUUCUCCAUUGUGGUGGGUUCCCUGCAAGAAACCUCUGGUGAUUUAAAUUGUGGCCGUGUGGAGAGACGUAACUGGCACCUUGGGAAGGGGGGUCCUGGACAAUGACAGAGUACAAGCUGGUGGUGGUGGGUGCAGGAGGUGUUGGAAAAAGUGCCUUAACCAUUCAGCUUAUUCAGAACCACUUUGUUGAUGAGUAUGACCCAACAAUUGAGGAUUCCUACAGAAAACAGGUUGUAAUAGAUGGAGAAACAUGCUUGCUGGACAUCUUGGACACUGCAGGUCAAGAAGAAUACAGCGCAAUGAGGGACCAGUACAUGAGAACAGGAGAGGGAUUUUUAUGCGUAUUUGCCAUUAACAACACUAAAUCUUUUGAGGAUAUUCAUCAGUACAGGGAACAAAUAAAACGGGUUAAGGACUCUGAUGAUGUUCCGAUGGUGUUGGUGGGUAACAAGUGCGACCUCCCAGCCCGAACUGUGGAGACACGACAAGCUCAGGACCUGGCCAGAAGUUAUGGCAUUCCUUACAUUGAAACAUCUGCCAAAACCAGACAGGGAGUAGAAGACGCCUUUUACACAUUAGUGAGAGAGAUCCGACAGCAUAAGUUACGGAAGCUCAAUCCACCUGAUGAGAGUGAGAAAGGAUGUCUGAACUGCAAGUGCGUUGUAUCUUGACCAUGGAUCGAAGGUCACAGCCUGGCCUGAAUGUGUUCCCUUGUUCUACUCCUCCGGUUAAGUGCCAGAUACCCAGGAAUAUUGUCUUUGGAUGUGCUGAGUGUAUACCACAGGUAGUAUUAAUGAUGACAAGGGUUAAUGAUGUGACUGUUGUUGGCAGCAUAGUGGAUGUACAUCUCUCUGGUCCUUAUGGUACUAAUAUCAGUAUCAUUACUUAGAGGUAAAUAUGGAUCUUUGGAUGAGCAACCAGUCCUGCAUGCAAUUCCCAAUAUGUACCUGAAGGAGGCAUUUUCUAAAAUGGCACAUCAUUGACUAUGCAGAUCUACGGUAUUUGUCAUGCCCCAAGUAAGAUCAUUUUUUUCUUUGGCAUGUUAGUUUGAUUCAUGGACGGCACUGCAGAUUUUCUGAAUAUUUAAAAAAUUAAGUAACUUCAUUAUUUAAGUAUAUAGUAUGAUGUACCUGACAUGCUUGAUAAAGGAGCUCAGCUGCUGUGAAGUGUACGUGAAUUUUCCCAAGCCAUUAAAUCUAUAAGAAAUAAAAAUGAUUUGAGAACUGUAUUUUACUUAUUCAGUGCUGUACCUAAAUGCAUAUUUCCAUUUUUCUACACUUUUUAUUUUACUUUUGCCAUCACUGAGUCAUUUUAAACUUAAAGGUGUAUUCCAGGAAAAAAAAAUGUAUUUCAACUGGCUCCAGAAAGUUACAGAUUUGUAAAUGACUUCUAUUAGAAAAUCGUAACCCUUCCAAUAAUUAUCAGCUGCUGAAGUUGAGUUGUUCUUUUCUGUCUGGUAACAGUGCUCUCUGCUGACAUCUCUGCUUGUCUCAGGACCUGCACAGAAUAGAAGAGGUUUGCUAUGGGGGUUUGCUUCUAAACUGGGCGGUUCCCUAGACAGGUGUCAUCAGAGAGCACUUAGACAGAAAACUCAACUUCAGCAGCUCAUAAGUACUGCAAUGAUUAAGAUUUUUUUAAUAGAAGAAAUUACAAAUCUGUUUGACUUUCUGGAGCCAGUUGAUAUAUAAAAAAAUGUUUUUUCCCUGGAUAACCCCUUUAAUUGUAAAAAAAAAAAAAAAAAAACAUUGUAAUGCACAACCCUUGUUGAUCAACAAGGGUUGAAACUCCUAAAUGGUCGCACUGACUAAAGUCCAUUUGCAAUUUGCUGCAAAGCGAAGAGUUAUCUCUAAGCAAAUCUCCUUAUAAGGAUUAGUUUUCCGUGUGGAAUUCCAUUUUGAGGGAUUCAGGCAAUAGGAUUCUGCUGCACAGUGCACAAUAUAGAUUUUUAGCGGCGGAUAUUCUGCUGCUGAAAUCAUGGUGCCAAAAGAAUGAACUUGUCCAUUCUGAUAGCAGAAUCCUAUCCGCAGACAUUACUGUCUAUGGGGACUGCAGUUUCUGCGUGGUUCUAGCGCCGAGUGAUUCAGUCGGGACUGGCCGCACUCGGAAGCCCAGGACAGAAGUUUUCUGUCUGGCGGGUCGUAGACAGAAUGACAGCUCUGUUGCCCUCUCCAUGUUUCUUAAUAAAUAUGGCCUAGAUGGACAGGGAAGGUCAUGUGGAAAAAGAGAGGAAGUACUAGAAAAAGAAUCAACAAUGCAGUAUUUAUGGGAGUCGGAACAAGACAGAUUUACUAGUAGAUAGACACAGCUGUGGCAUAAAAUCCUUUGUACAUAGUGCAGGAAUAUUAUACCAUACCAUCAGUCACCUUCAGCCAGACAAUAAAUAAUUUCUGUACAUGCUGUAUACACUGAUCAGUCAUUACAUUGAUCAUCUUGUUACACUGGCACCUAUUAAGAGCGGGAUAUAUUAGUCAGCAAGUGAAGUCAGUCUUUAAAGUUGAUAAAUUGAAGGCAGGAAAAGCAGGAAAGUCUAAGGAUCUAAAUGACCAAACUGUAAUAUCUAGACAACUAGUUUAGAGCAUCUCCAAACCAGCAGGUUAUGUGCCAUCUUACUGGUAUGCAGUAGUAAGUACUUACCACAUAUAGACCAAGAAAAAUCAACCAGUGAACCAGCAACAGGGUCCUGGGUAUCCAGGACUCCAUAAUCCCGUGCAUCAGUGAAGGCUAGCCCAUCUUGUCUGAUACCACAAAAGAAUUACUGAAGCACAAAAUACUAAAAAGCUUACUGCUGGCUAUAAUAGACAGGUGUCAGAUCCCACGACAUCACAGCUUGCUGCCUUUGAGCUUUGGUUUUAAGGUGUCAGAUUCCACAGCAGAGAAGUCCAUCUCUCUGUGGCUAAGAGCUAUUUUGGCAGAUAAGGGGCAUCUACAAAAUAGUAGACAGGUGGUUUUAAUGUUGUGGCUGAUUACUGUAUACAGAUGUAGUGGCUGCCAACUGUAGUGGUAGUAUGCUAUGCUAUGCUAUGUCCAUAUAACUCAAUCUGUGCAAAGCCACUGGGCUAGUGCACUACAGUAUAGUUGGUGGACACCAGAUCUGUAGUUAUUACAUAAAAACAAUUCACCAGAGUAGGCGUUAUCCAUACAGCGAUUAAAUAUUGCAUCCAACCAUACUGUCACCUAAGAAAAUGCACUAUACAAAGAUACCUUUAUUAUACUGGCACAUCAUGGCUGCUACCACUGGGACCCCCCCCCCCCUCAAUCUCCUAUACAGGGACCCUGCACUGCCGUUGCUCUGCGCAGCUAAUGCUUGUGUCGUCAACCUGCAUGAACGAUGCAUCUCCGCCUCUCCCAUAGAGAUACAGUACAUGGAAGGGCCUGUUGGCAGAGGAGAGCUGAAGCAGAGCCGGGGCCCUGUACAGGAGAUUGAGGGGGAUCCCAGCGGUCUGACACCCCCCCCCCUGCAAUCAAACACUUAUCCCCUAUCCUGCGCGAUACAUAGGAUAGGGGAUAAGUUAUAUACCGUUGAAGAUCUCCUUUUUAAGCUUCUCUUACACAGGGCAAUUAUUGGCCAAAUAAACAUUUGUGUGAACAUUUCUCCCAAUUAUUGCCCCAUGUUAAAGAUGCUGUGAUCAGAUGACGAAUGCAAAAAAAAAAAUGUUCGCUGAUCAAAUUGUUGAUGCUGACAUAUAAAAUCAAAUUGCUGCUCCACUGUUCCUUUGCAUAAGGUUUGAUAAAUUUCCUCCUAUAUUUUUCAAUGAAUUUAAAGCCAACAAUUUUAAAUGCCAUGAUAAAUCUCCCCUAUAUAAAAAUUCCCUGCUUCCUCAGUACAUAAAACUGCCUGCCACCACCACUAGGGAGAGCUCUGUGCAUGGGAAUUCAUACAGCUGCCAUUGAAGGUUCUUUUCACACACUUGUUUGGAUACAUUUCCAUUUGAGUACAGAAAUCCCUGCAAUCACCCAAUGAAGAGCAUUGCCAUUUUGGCCUAAAUUUUAAAGGUUUCUCUUGAGGUCUGCAUUUUUCUGUUGGAUGGGAUAGCGAAAUUCUGUACUCUAUUCAAAUUGGCAGAUUCAGUAAGGAGCUAAAGAGCUUGAUGCAAAAUCUGCAACAGGGCCCCAUAUGCCAAUUAUAAUGCUGGUCUCUUAUGGGGCAGAUGUGCUUUGGGGCCCCCUUAGGCACCAGGGCCCUGAUGCGACUGCUACCUCUUAAGUGAUGCCCCUGACUGAAGUUCUCUAUUGGGUGGCUCGAGAAAAAUGUCAAAUAUUGGGCAUGUAGGAUUUUAAUUGCCCUAAAAUAAGCCGUCACCAGAGGUUUCUGGCAGGGGCUUAUCUCCACUUUCCCCAAAACACCCAAAAGCUUGGCCAAGCAAAGAGUUUGUGUGUAUGGGGUUAACAGGAUGAACUUGUAGCGUUUCCUAGCAAUUCUUUUGUAACCCGUAUAUCUCAAAUGAUUGUUUUCUAUGGAAUGUAAUACUAGUACAGGAGAUCUUUAGUCACGGACUGUGUUACAAGCAUCUCCAACCACACCCAUUCUGAACACUGCUUAUCCCGGGUACACUUCUGAAUUCUAGACCUUGGCACCGGUAUCGUAUCUGACUGCUUUUGUUUUCUGUCUGUUUUAUUCAUUCAUUAUUAACAAUCCUCUAUUGUGUCUUGACAAAGAGUUUAAUACAGGAGUGUCCUAUUAGAAAAGUAUAUCAAUUUGUUUACUGAUGAGUCAGAAGUUAAGUAUCUGCAGAAAGCUACCAGUCACAUGGGAACAUUCAGGGUGAGGCGUACAAAGUGCAGAUUAUUUAGUCCCAUAUAUAUUUAUAUAUAUAUAUUUUUUUUUACUCUUUGUACUUCUUGAUUGUACAAAGAAUGGACAUUUAUGGGGACAAUACUGUUAAAGUUUAAUACUGUGAUAAAGUUUACAACAUACCAAUUCCUCAUGUAUAAAAAUAGUAAAAAAAAUGUAGUAUAAUGACUAGUUGAUGGAAGUCUGUAAAUAGGUUAAGGAACAAGGUAAUUUCCAGCGCCAUUAUGUUUUAGACCUUGACAUGUUCGCAUGUAAAAUAAUUAGGUUUAUACAAGGUGGGGUUUUUCUAUGUCAUUAAGUCAAUAUAAAGACUUUUUUAUAUAAAGACUUUUCCAUUCUGAUCACAUAUGUGUACCAUUGGAUAGUUUAGACUGUAUACCGAAUCUAUCAUGUUUUGUAAAAGAGGAUGCUAAAAAGUGGUUGCCCAGCAGGUUAACAAGAUGUGAACUGAGCAUUACUCUCCUCCUUUUUUCCAUUCCAAUACAGUGGUCCCUCAACAUACGAUGGUAAUUAGUUCCAAACGAGCCAUUGUUUGUCGAAUCCAUCGUAUGUUGAGGGAUUCGUGCAAUGUAAAGUAUAGGAAGCUGUACUCACCUGUCCCCGCCGCUCGAGAUGGUGACCCCGGGUCUCCGCUGGGCUCUCCGCAGUCUUCUCCGGUCCUCUGCUGUCUUCUCCGGUCCUCUGCUGUCUUCCGCAAGGCCUUACUGGGCCUGCGUAGUGACGUCAUUACGCUGCUGCGUACGCCAUUCCUAUUGGAUGACGUGCGCAGCAGCGUAUUGACGUCAUCGGAGAGGGCCAAGAAGACACCGGAAGACCAGCGUUGGACCCGGAGGGCACCCUGGAGCAUCGUGGAGGGGUAAGUAAUACUUACAACACCACACGGGGAACAUUAAGCUUCUAUCCGGCAGCAGCUUAAGCAUUUGGCGCUGCCGUAUAGCACUUAAUGCGAUGGCCCCGACAUAAAAAAAGCAUCGUAUGUCGAUGCUGACAUGGACAUGUGAUGGCCUCUGAGAGGCCAUCGUAUGUCGAUUUCAUCAUAUGUCGGGGCCAUCGUAGGUCGAGGGGUCACUGUACUCACAAGGUCUCGGCUGAUCUCCACUUCCUGUUCCUGUUUCGACACACAAAAUGACUGAAAAUAGAUACUUGACCAAUCAUUAUCUUAGUAAGUAGGCAUUUGCUUCAUUGUCCUGCUGCAUGUGGUAAGCAUCACAUCCAUUAAAUUUAUUUUGGAUACUUUCACUAGAAAAGAAUGUGGCUUAAAAUGCAACAACCUGCACCAAAACUAUGGCACAAGAUUCUAGAAAAAGAAGCCAACCUAUGGGUAGUGUAAACCGCCUUUUUGAUCAAUUUGGCGCAUUCUUAGACUUUCUAGCCUGAACUUUCGCUGUAUAAGUAUUGGACUAUUUCACUUCAUCUGUUCUAGUGUUUCUUUUUAUAACUUAACUAUAGUGCAUAGUAAAAGGCAUAAUAAAUGAGAAAAGGAGGCACAGUUCAAAAUAUCGGAUAAGAUUAGUCCAACACGUGGGAGAUGAUACCCAGUGAAAACAGCAUUGCUACAUACAAUAGUGGGAUGGUGUGGGUGGUGUACGGAUAAAGCAAAACAAGAUGAAAUACGACCGUAAGUAGACAUGUUGAAUCCUGCGCUCACCGCAUCCACCGCUGCUUCAUGAUGCAGCGGUGGAAGUGGUGAGUGCAGGAUUGAACAUUUCUAUUUACUGUGGUAGUGCAUAGUAAAACUGUAUCAAAAUUCACAUUUAUGACUCUAGUUUGAAAUGGAUAUUCCAUUUCAACAGAAGUGCCAUAUACUUUGGGCUAACAGUAAGAUUCUCUGUUCUUUUUUUGCUGUCCAAUACUUGUAAGACUUCAAUGCUGCCUGAACCACCAGUCGUCAGGGAGGUCCCUGGUGGUUUUUGCCUGCCCCUAUGGCUGUGAUUGAUACAGGGGGGGGGGGGGGGGGGGGUAGGCGAACAAGUAUUUGAUGCACUGCCGACUUUGCAUGUUUUCCUACUUACAAAGCAUGUAGAGGUCUGUAAUUUUCAUAGGUACUCUUCAGACGGAACCUAAACAAAAAAUCCAGAAAACAAAAUUGUAUGAUUUUUCAAAAAUGAAUUUGCAUUUCAUUGCAUGACAUAAGUAUUUGAUAUAUCAGAAAAGCAUAACUUAAUAUUUGGUACAGAAACCUUUGUUUGCAAUUAGAGAGAAAACAUUUCCUGUAGUUCUUGACCAGGUUUGCACACACUGCAGCAGGGAUUUUGGCCCACUCCAUACAGACCAUACCAGAUCUUCAGGUUUCCGGGCUGUCGCUGGUCAAUACGGACUUUCAACUCCCUUCAAAGAUUUUUUUAUUUUGUUCAAGUCUGGAGACUGGCUAGGCCAUUCCAGGACCUUGAGAUGCUUCUUACGGAGCCACUCCUUAGUUUCCCUGGCUGUGUGUUUCAGGUCAUUGUCAUGCCUGAAGACCCAGCCAUGACCCAUCUUCAAUGCUCUUACUGAGGGAAGGAGGUUGUUGGCAAAAAUCUUGCGAUAUAUGGCCCCAUCCAUCCUCCCCUCAUUACAGUGCAGUCGUCCUGUCCCCUUUGCAGAAAAACAGCCCCAAAAAAUGUUUCCACCUCCAUGCUUCAUGGUUGGGAUUGUGUUCUUAGGGUUGUACUCAUCCUUCUUCUUCCUUCAAACACGGCAAGUGGAGUUUAGACCAAAAAGCUCUAUUUUUGUCUUAUCAGACCACAUGACCUUCUCCUAUUCCUCCUCUUGAUCAUCCAGAUGGUCCUUGGCAAACUUCAGACAAGCCUGGACAUGCACUUGCUUGAGCAGGGGGAUCUUGCAUGUACUGCAGGAUUUUAAUCCAUGAUGGCAUAGUGUGUUAAUAAUUGUUUUCUUGGAGACUGUGGUCCCAGCUCUCUUCAGGUCAUUGGCCAGGUAUUGCCGUGUAGUUCCAGGCUGAUCUUUCACCUUCCUUAUGGUCAUUGAUGCCCCACGAGGGGAGAUCUUGCAGGGGACACCAGACCGAGGGAGAUUGACUGUCAUCUUGAACUUCUUCCAUUUUCUUAUAAUUGCGCCAACAGUUGUUGCCUUCUCAUCAAGCUGCUUGCCUAUUGUCCUGUAGCCCAUCCCAGCCUUGUGCAGGUCUACAAUUUUAUCCCUGAUGUCCUUACACAGUUCUCUGUUCUUGUCCAUUGUGGAGAGGUUGAAGUCUGAUUGUGUGUGGACAGGUGUCUUUUAUACAGGUAACGAGUAAUGGAGAACAUGAGCGCUUCUUAAAGAAAAAAAUAACGGGUCUGGGAGAGCCGGAAUUCUUACUGGUUGGUAGGGAUCAAAUACUUAUGUCAUGCAAUAAAAUACAAAUUAUUUUUUUUUUAAAUCAUACAAUGGGAUUUUCAUGAUUUUUGUUUUAGAUUCAGUCUCACAGUCCAAGAGUACCUAUGAUAAAAACUACAGACCUCUGCAUGCUUUGUAAGUAGGAAACUGCAAAAUCAGCAGUGUAUCAAAUACUUGUUCUCCCCACUGUGUAUACAAGUGCCAAUCUCAAAGAUCAUUGCUCAUUUACUAAGCCUCUUACAUGGCUUCAAAUGGACUUCAAAGGUGUAGUGGGUCUUUUGCGGCGCUGACUCGGAACAGGCACAUCAG